CCCUCAGUAACGGCGAGUGAAGAGGGAAGAGCCCAGCGCCGAAUCCCCGCCCCGCGGUGGGGCGCGGGACAUGUGGCGUACAGAAGCCCCCCUCCCCGGCGGCGCUUUCGGGGGACCCAAGUCCUUGUGAUCGAGGCCGCAGCCCGCGGACGGUGUGAGGCCGGUAGCGGCCCCCCGGCGCGCCGGGCCCGGGGCUUCUCGGAGUCGGGUUGCUUGGGAAUGCAGCCCAAAGCGGGUGG
Molecule: non-coding RNA, 239 nt
Filed under: Chaetura pelagica (chimney swift)
Lineage: Eukaryota; Metazoa; Chordata; Aves; Apodiformes; Apodidae
Description: Eukaryotic large subunit ribosomal RNA
Rfam family: Eukaryotic large subunit ribosomal RNA
Source: Rfam by way of RNAcentral